UACGUAGGCGGAAAAUUAAAUCAGUAGUGAAAUCCCGCAGCUUAACUGUGGAACUGUUAUUGAUACUGGUUUUCUUGAAUAUAGUUGAGGUAGGCGGAAUGUGUAAUGUAGCGGUGAAAUGCUUAGAUAUUACACAGAACACCGAUUGCGAAGGCAGCUUACUAAGCUAUGAUUGACGCUGAGGUACGAAAGCGUGGGGAGCGAACAGGAUUAGAUACCCUGGUAGUCC
This 229-nucleotide ribosomal RNA is filed under the name uncultured bacterium. RNAcentral describes it as "partial 16S ribosomal RNA". It matches the Rfam family "Bacterial small subunit ribosomal RNA", at positions 568 to 796 of the family's 1533-position model. The record is from RNAcentral.